GACGAACGCUGGCGGCGUGCUUAACACAUGCAAGUCGAACAGAAAGGCCCUGCUUUUGUGGGGUGCUCGAGUGGCGAACGGGUGAGUAACACGUGAGUAACCUGCCCUUGACUUUGGGAUAACUUCAGGAAACUGGGGCUAAUACCGGAUAGGAGCUCCUGCUGCAUGGUGGGGGUUGGAAAGUUUCGGCGGUUGGGGAUGGACUCGCGGCUUAUCAGCUUGUUGGUGGGGUAGUGGCUUACCAAGGCUUUGACGGGUAGCCGGCCUGAGAGGGUGAACGGCCACAUUGGGACUGAGAUACGGCCCAGACUCCUACGGGAGGCAGCAGUGGGGAAUAUUGCACAAUGGGCGGAAGCCUGAUGCAGCAACGCCGCGUGCGGGAUGACGGCCUUCGGGUUGUAAACCGCUUUCGCCUGUGACGAAGCGUGAGUGACGGUAAUGGGUAAAGAAGCACCGGCUAACUACGUG
This 468-nucleotide ribosomal RNA is filed under the name uncultured bacterium. RNAcentral describes it as "partial 16S ribosomal RNA". It matches the Rfam family "Bacterial small subunit ribosomal RNA", at positions 28 to 507 of the family's 1533-position model. The record is from RNAcentral.